GAUGAACGCUGGCGGCGUGCCUAAUACAUGCAAGUCGAGCGAACAGACGAGGAGCUUGCUCCUCUGACGUUAGCGGCGGACGGGUGAGUAACACGUGGAUAACCUACCUAUAAGACUGGGAUAACUUCGGGAAACCGGAGCUAAUACCGGAUAAUAUAUUGAACCGCAUGGUUCAAUAGUGAAAGACGGUUUUGCUGUCACUUAUAGAUGGAUCCCCGCCGCAUUAGCUAGUUGGUAAGGUAACGGCUUACCAAGGCAACGAUGCGUAGCCGACCUGAGAGGGUGAUAGGCCACACUGGAACUUAGACACGGUCCAGACUCCUACGAGAGGCAGCAGUAGGGAACCUGCCGCAAUGGGCGAAAGCAUGACGGAGCAACGCCGCGUGAGUGAUGAAGGUCUUCGGAUCGUAAAACUCUGUUAUUAGGGAAGAACAAAUGUGUAAGUAACUAUGCACGUCUUGACGGUACCUAAUCAGAAAGCCACGGCUAACUACGUG
RNAcentral lists this ribosomal RNA (497 nucleotides) under uncultured bacterium. RNAcentral describes it as "partial 16S ribosomal RNA". It matches the Rfam family "Bacterial small subunit ribosomal RNA", at positions 28 to 507 of the family's 1533-position model. The record is from RNAcentral.